CACAGCACGAGAUGACCCAAUAACCCGAACUCCUACGUCGUUCGGGUUAUUGGGUCAUCUCGUGCUGUG
RNAcentral lists this small RNA (69 nucleotides) under Mytilus galloprovincialis (Mediterranean mussel). Lineage: Eukaryota; Metazoa; Mollusca; Bivalvia; Mytilida; Mytilidae. The record is from RNAcentral.